GAUGAAGAACGCAGCGAAAUGCGAUAAGUAAUGUGAAUUGCAGAAUUCAGUGAAUCAUCGAAUCUUUGAACGCACAUUGCGCCCCUUGGUAUUCCGGGGGGCAUGCCUGUUCGAGCGUCAUUAUAACCCCUCAAGCUCAGCUUGGUGUUGGGGCCUGCCGACUGGCAGCCCUUAAAAUCAGUGGCGGCGCCAUCUGGCUCUAAGCGUAGUAAUUUCUCUCGCUAUAGAGUCCCGGUGGAUGCUUGCCAGCAACCCCCAACUUUCUAUGGUUGACCUCGGAUCAGGUAGGGAUACCCGCUGAACUUAAGCAUAUCAAUAAGCGGAGG
RNAcentral lists this unclassified non-coding RNA (326 nucleotides) under soil metagenome. RNAcentral describes it as "partial contains 5.8S ribosomal RNA, internal transcribed spacer 2, and large subunit ribosomal RNA". The stretch from base 1 to 120 matches the Rfam family "5.8S ribosomal RNA", at positions 35 to 154 of the family's 154-position model. The record is from RNAcentral.